This is a long non-coding RNA of Gasterosteus aculeatus aculeatus (three-spined stickleback), 10215 nucleotides long. The record is from Ensembl. NCBI's taxonomy places the organism in Eukaryota, Metazoa, Chordata, Actinopteri, Perciformes, Gasterosteidae.
CCGAUUGGUCGUCAGCAGCUGGAGGCGGGAAAGGGGGUUUGAAGCCGCAGGCAGACACGGGUCAAGAUAUCGGCUGGACCGGGAACGCUUUCCCUUAUCGGACGGCGGCCCGUCUGAAAGGGGCAAGGGGCGUCUCGCCAACUCUCCUUCGUGAACAUCGAUCCGACGCCACCUGUUGGCAAACUGCUGCUUCUAUAUUCGUGAUGGAAAAUGAAGUCGAUGAUACCGAUAAAGGGACGUUCAGCCGCCGCGCUCUCUGGCACAACGGACGCACUUUUAACAUACGAAAUUAAAAUAUUACGCGGUUCGUGGCGGCUGCCCCUGCAGAGCAAGCGGUUCAGUCGUAGUUGGUUAGAGAAUGAUUUAAUAAGAGGGGGGGGGGGGUUGGAUUGGCAGACCGGCGCAGGGCGGUUUUGGAAAUCAUACAAACGCACAUCUUGUUUGUUUGUUUUUAAACACAACAGAAAGUGGCGAUGAGCUUUUGCCAAGCCCGUUUCCUCCCCCGCGCAGGAACCUCCCUGCACGCAGUCCAUCGCGACCAACCCAAGGCCGAUGUGUUGACAUCUUAACGCUAAGAUGCAAGCGCCGCGUUCCCCCGAGCGAUUUCUUCUCACGGGUUCUACUGAAGCCGGAGACGAGAGGUGGACCACCGGCGUGAAGCGGAAGCUCCGCCGCUCAUCUGCUUUUAUCGGUUUCCUGGCGGUUUGGCGACACAAGGCCUGUUUGUAUGAAUGAAUUAAAACCGCAGCCAUGGUUGUGUCAUAGGACCGGAUCCCACCGGACAGCACAGUGUGUUUCGAGCCUCGGUGUGUGUGUGUGUGUGUGUGUGUGUCAGCAUUGCAUGCCUGGUGGUCCACAGUGGGCUGUGUAAAUAUUAUUCGCAGUAUAAAUGCUCCGCCACUCAAGCGCACAAAGGCAUGCACACAAUGGUUUAAGUGUGACUCGAGAAGGGGAGUCGAAGGGACGAAGAGACUUGAUCAAACGGUGAUCAAACUGCUCUGAAACCAGUCGUGUUGUAUGAAAGUCCACGUCCCAAAUGAUCUAAUCGGUAUUCGGGAAGCUGCUAAUCACACGUGAAGAUAAAAGACAAUCAACAGUUGCGCACAAUCAGCGUUCCUCGUAAAUCAUCUUUAUUAUGGUCGUCGUUGUUGAUCAGCUGACCCACUUUCUUGCCUGCAGAUUUACGUCAGAGAAAAAGAAGCGUCUUUGCUCACAAUGCAAUUGCAGCAGAGAGCUAUCGAUUAGUUUAAUGACUACUUAACUCGUUGUUCCAUGAAACACGAUGAAAAACGCCCACAACAAGCCUCAAGAUGGCCACUUCAGAACAUUUUAAACGGGAGCGUUUGCUGCCAAUGUGUUCAAAACGUUUUAUGUCAGCUUCUCGAAACAAAUUAUUCUCUAGUGCCGGAGACAUCUCUGCGUAAGUGCUUUUUAAUUUUGCUCUGUCAAAUAUAAUUUAUUAAUGCUUUUCUUUGCAUUUGGCUGUUAGACAUUAGAGGCUACAGAGUUACCGAAACAGAACAUAAUCUGUAAAAACCUUUAGAACUGAUUGUUUUCUUCCGUUUUCAAGUGAAAGUGCUUCUUUUUUACACCCAGACGAGUCGCCCCCUGGUGGCCGUGACAGGGAAUGCAAGUUUGAGAUGCGAUCGGCCUCAAUCCUCAGAACUGGUUGAUCAGACGGCAUCCAACGUUUCCGUAAGCAACCGACGGAGGAAUUUCAAUUCUUUCUUCCGAUUCAGGAUGCAAAACAAUGAAUGGAUGAAUAGAAAGCAUUCCGAAGCCGACGGAAGAGACUGACUGAGGCGGAAGCUAGCAACUAGAUACCUGCAUCGACACCGAGGGGGGUGUUUGGGGAUGUGCGGCUACGUGGCGCGCUAACAAGCCGAUUCAGACCGACUAGAUGAGGUUCGGGGGGGCGGGCGAGGUUAAUGCAUUACAGAUGAGUGGAUUCAUCCACUAUCGCUCUCCAUUAGUCAUCCUAUACUCUGAAAACAUGGAGAGGGCCUCUUGCACUUCCUUCAUAAAUGAAUACAGAUGACUGUGAGAAGGCACGCAGACACACACACACAAACACACAGGCUUGUUAGCUAAAGAUCACAGGCGUUUAUUCAUGAUAAUAUUCUCAUUAUGGCUUUUAUUUGAAUGUGAUUGGAGCAGGAACAUCAAACAUUGGUCACUUGGCGGAUUGAAACCAGCUUUAUGAAAUCUGAGAUGGAUUUCUAUCUUUGUCAGAUGGAGCGCGAGCGAUCCGAGUCAAAAAGAGCCUCAUUAAAAUGUAGCCUGCAUACGUGUUCAGCAUGAUAAGAGUCCACCUCCCACUUGUCCACUUCCUCCCACAGUGAUGUCAUUUCAAAGGUCUCCUCACCCGGGACUGUGUCUUAAAAUGAUCAUCGGUGCAGUGGGAGGGACCAACAGAGCUGCCUAGAAUUCAGCAGGUUGUCGAUUCUCUAACCGCCAAUCAGACAAGCCUCCUGAGGCGUGUGUGUGUGUGUGUGUGUGUGUGUGUGUGUGUGUGUGUGGUGACUCAUUGUAUUUGGCCCGUGCACAUGAUAACAGCAGAUUGGGGGUCAUGACAGAGGGAUUCUGCCUCUAUGACGUGUUAGUUACUCUCACUCUGCAGUGUUUAAUGUACCUUUCAAAGUAAAAGUAUGUUUUUUAAAAUCUUUUUUAAACAUUGUGCAAAAUGAAUUUCCACCUGUUCUUCGGUAACUUGAACGAUUGUUCAUAUUUUCAGUUUUCAUAAUCAUUUUAUAAUAACUUUUUGAAUGAUCUCUAUCAUCAGGUGGAUUGUUAUUGCCGUUGUUCCUGAAUGUAUUAUGUAGUCAAACAUAAUAAGUACACAAAUUACAUUUCACUGCCCUCCAGCUGUUGAUUAGUGUGUGUGUGUGUGGCGGUGGCUCUGUGUGUUUGCGGGAUGUUAAGGUGUGUGUGUGUGUGUGUCGGUUGCGGGAUUACUUCCAGUACCGUAAGAUCUUUGUUUACCCCCAGGCCCGUUGUUUACAGACUGAUUUCACAAAAUGAUGCGUGUGUGUGUAAACGCGGGGUGUGCACGUGGAGUGUGUACGUGUGGUCAGUUUAGCCAGUGACCUUUUCCCGCCCCGGGGGGGGGGGGCAGCCAAUCACAGGAGGGCUGUGGAGACGGCGUUCAGCCAAUCACAGGAAAACUGCCACCUCUCUGCUCUCUCCUGCUCCAUUGUGCCUUUUUUAUUAUCUUUCUCUGUUGAUGGUUACCGCAGUAAAGAGCUUGCUUGUCAUCAAGAACAACACAACUACUCCCCAUGACUCCCCUUGCCUCCCCCGUCUCUCUCCAUCUCUCUCUCUCUCUCCAAAAAAAGCUUCUGCUGACUAACGUGAGCUCUUUAUUUGUUCCUCUUUCCUCCUUCACGCGUUCCUUUGUCUAUUCGGCAGCUUUACUGCAGUGUUAACCAAUGCUUUUCCUGCACACGCACACAAACACACAUACACACGCAGACACACACACACACACACGCACGCACACUGAUGCUCAGUUUUUUUAAUCUUUUAUAAUGAGACCACUUGGUGAAAUAAAUUGUCAGGGUGUUUCUUUCUCUCUCGGUGUGUCAGCGCUUAACUCGGAUUGACUCCAAGCCUCUAUUGAUUUAUGGGCUUGAGCGAGUGUGUGUGUGUGUGUGUGUGUGUGUGUGUGUGUGUGUUGGUGUGUGUUGUUGCGUGACGUUCCGGGGGUCAAUUGGUUGCUCUUUAGGGGACUGGAGCUCAAUUAAGGUGGAUUUCUUCUGGCUCACGGUUGUAAAAGGACCAGAGAGUCAGCAGGUCAUCAACACCGAGCUGCCCCGGAUUCACCGGCUCGACCACACACACACACACACACACACACACACACACACACACACACACACACACACACACACGAUAGGAAUCCUCAGGAUGUGAGAAAUAACCCGAAGAGGCAAUAACGCAUUGAUUUUUCUGAAGGAGCCGGGCUCCCCGGGGACCCCGCUUGGUGCGGGGGUUGCGUGUCGGGUUGCGUGUCGGGUCGCGUAUCGAGUUGGGUAUCGGGUUCGGUAUCGGGUUGCGUGUCGGGUUGCGUGUCGGGUUGGGUAUCGGGUUGCGUAUCGGGUUGCGUAUCGGGUUGCGUAUCGGGUUCGGUAUCGGGUUGCGUGUCGGGUUGUGUGUCGGGUUGCGUGUCGGGUUGCGUGUCGAGUUGCGUAUCGGGUUGCGUAUCAGGUUGCGUAUCGGAUUGGGUAUCGCGUUGGGUAUCGGGUUGGGUUCGGGUUGCGUGUCGGGUUGGGUUCGGGUUGCGUGUCGGGUUGCGUGUCGGGUUGGGUAUCGGGUUGCGUGUCGGGUUGCGUGUCGGGUUGCGUAUCGGGUUGCGUAUCGAGUUGCGUAUCGAGUUGGGUAUCGAGUUGGGUAUCGGGUUGCGUGUCGGGUUGCGUGUCGGGUUGGGUAUCGGGUGGCGUGUCGGGUUGCGUAUUGAGUUGGGUAUCGGGUUGCGUAUCGGGUUGCGUAUCGGGUUGGGUAUCGGGUUGCGUAUCGAGUUGCGUAUCGGGUUGGGUAUCGGGUUGCGUAUCGAGUUGGGUAUCGAGUUGGGUAUCGGGUUGCGUGUCGGGUUGCGUGUCGGGUUGGGUAUCGGGUGGCGUGUCGGGUUGCAUAUAAGGUUGCGUAUCGAGUUGCGUAUCGGGUUGCGUAUUGAGUUGGGUAUCGGGUUGCGUAUCGAGUUGCGUAUCGGGUUGGGUAUUGGGUUGCGUGUCGGGUUGCGUGUCGGGCUGCGUGUCGGGCUGCGUGACGGUUGCGUAUCGUCACCGGACCUUCGCGGUGGUCUCCUUCGUCUUCGAUGCAGUGCUUAGUAUUCAGUUAUGCUUUUAGGUCAUGUUGUCUUGUUACCGCACUGCUGUGUCUAAUGAGCCCUUCCUGUUGUUGUUGUUGAUGAUGUGUGUGUGUGUGUUUGUACUGUAUGUGUGUCUGUUUCCCCACAGUCGAGCUCCACAUAAAUAACCCAAUAGUCCCGAUCACAUUACUGCCUGAAAGAUGGUUAGACUGACAGAAAGAGAGAGACGGGGGGGGGGGACCAUUGGUAAAGGCCCACUUUGUGUGGACACAGCGUUUUGUUUCACACAACAAUUCUUUGAGGGGAACCAACCCCCCCCCCCCUGCACAUUUCAAUCUGCACACAGCUACAUACGGAGGACGGAUGGAUCAAACAGCCCGCAAACGAGGUCUUGUGUGUAUUAGGAAGCGGGUGGGAGUGCGUGCAUGGAUGCACUCAUGUGUAGGGAUGCACAUCUCUAUGUGUGUGUGUGUGUGUGUGUGUGUGAGAGAGAGCGACAGCGUCUUAUUAUGAAAGAGUAAUGCAGAUGGAUGAAUAAAUAAAAGAUCUGGGAAACCCAUCAGCAUCGAGCACUCGGUUGUCAUGGCAAUGCGAGCAGCACAGCACAGUAUGUGCGUGUGUUUAAUGUGUUGCGAGUGAGAGAGAUCGACAUCGCACAACUGCAGUGUUUAGGUAUGUAAACAAGAGAUUCGCACUGAUGAAGAAGCGUACGGAACGCGGUUUGUUUCAGUUCGUCCUGCUCGGCCCAUGAACACACUCGUGCGUGAAGUUGCUUUUAAAUAGAGUCAACGUGACGUCUUGUAGGUGCGUCUUUGCCUGUUUGCAGCCCGUCUCUGCGUGUGAGUACGGUGACCGAAGCUUAAUUAAUGUUGGAAAAAAAAGUGCAUGAAAGUGCACGUGGAAAGUUUCAUGAAAGCUGCUUCAAACAGUGGCAAUGCGAUGUAUGCUGCUCUGUGAGAGAGAGAGAGGACUGGAAGAGGCUCUUACUAGAAACUCUACCUGGUUACUAGGCAACAGAAUGGCACUGCUGCACAUCGGAGCAUGGGGGGGGCAAUCUGUGUGUGAGGGUCCUCGUUCAACUGCUGAGUCAAUAACUAUAUUAUUUAUUGUUUAUAUUAUUUAUUAUUUAUGUGUGUGCGAGAGCCUACCAAUGUUCCUGCAGCAGCUCAGAAGGCGGAGUCAACCUGGCGGUCCCGCUGGACGCCGGGCGGCCGCUCACGCUCAUUUUUUUGCGGGUGACCUCGCGAACAGAGCGCACAGCGAGCGCCGCCGCCGCCGCCGCGGCUCAACCCCCGGGUUCUUCUUCCCUCUGCUUCCGUCUCGCUCGCUCUCUCUCGGCCCGCGUCGGAAUCGGCGGGAAUUACGUAAGCGGGGGGCCCGAGAGACGCUUUUUUUGUUAGAGCUUUUAUUACGACGACUGCAUCCGUUUAGUUUUCCUCGGCCUCAGCUUUAGCUCACAAUGAGUGAGGAAAUCAGGUCCAAGUACGGCCGACAGGUCCCACAUCAAAAAAACCCCAAACAAUCCUUGUGAACGACCCGCUGACCUCCGGACCAAAGCUGGUUCAGUGUGUGUGAACUCAUUAAGGGCACCCACUCUCACAGGCAGCGGGUCAAUGCAGACGGAUCCAUCCUCCUCACAUCGAAAAGCAUUUUUCAUUUGCUGCUGUGUGUGUGUGUGUGUGUGUGUGACAGACUGCUGUUUAAUGUCCAUUAGGCUGUAAUGAAGGAACGCCGCUCUCACCGGUCCCCUCGCUGCUUUCUAAUGGGCCUCUAUUAUCACGGUUCAAAGCGCACACACACACACACACACUCAUCUCUUUGAGAUGAAAGGGCAUCAUGAAGCAGGUGACCUAGCUGGAGUGCAGGAGGUCUGGCCUGUGUUAAACAGUCUGAAGUGGCCGUACGAAUGGGCGGUUAUGUGCUUGUCUGAAGAGGAAAGCGCCGCGCGUCACAAAACAAACUGUGAACACGGAGACGUCACAAUGCUGCAGACAACCAAACGCAUUGAACUUCUCCCCAAACGUUGGUAUGUUUCAAUGAGUCGAACGCAAACGGGGUCAAACCAAGACAUCUAUUCAGCAGGCAUUCGUCCUGCAGUAAAACAACCCAGAUCUCUCUGAGUGAGCUCUUCAUCUCAGCUUGCCUGCUGGGUACCUGUGAAUGUAAUUGUCUCACUUGGCGACUUUAACUGUGCAGCGAAACGCGACGUAAUGAAGCCGAAAUAUCAAACGGCAGACCCGAGAGUCGGCGAGGAGGACUCCUGGCAACACAUGACUCGAAGCAUAAUGCGCAAAAUCUGCUCACAUGUGGUUUAAUAACGAUCUAAAAAUACCUGCGUGGAGGAGAAUCUGCCUGCAUCCGCACACUGCGCAUGUAUAGAUUACGAAUGCAGCGUAAUCACUUCUGUUGCUGCCUCUCUGUUCUGUGAUAAAUGUGCAGGUCAGAGGUCGCCGACAUACACAAAAAAGCAGCUAUAAAAACCCUGCAGGAAGCCAAAGGGAAAUUAAACCUGUCACACAAGGAAGCCGACUCGCUCUGUGAUUCAUUUUAGCACCUUUUUCUCUCGGUUCACACGUCCACCUCCUUCUAACGUAAUGACCUAAUUCCCUGCUGGGAAUCAAUAAGGUUACCCGUGCCACUGGAUCACUUCAGUGAGGUCUAAACAUCCAUCUACGUAUCCUCCGCGAAGCCUUCUUACGCGUUGAAGGCUCUCUGGUGCGCAGGAACCAAAGGAGCCACUGAGCGACGAAAUCCCCCCUCUGACAUUUUAUCGGUGCAGCUGCAAAGCGUCCCGUGUAUCCAGAAAGUGCCACCAUCAACACCGCGGCGCUGCCAGUGGCUUCCUGCAGCCAUGCGGUUCUUUUGAGGUUCCCCGAGGUAACAACAACAAGAAAAAAAAAACGCUCUCUGACAGAGUGAGGCAGAGCGUGGAAACGCCACCUCCAGAGCGGACGUCUCCGGCUUUGCAGACGUCUAAUUGGCCACCGGCCCCCUCCGUCCUCCCUCCGUCCUCCCAGCGGCCGCUCAAGAGGCACGGCGGGCCGACUGAAAUGCCGACGGUUUAACCUGCCGUCAGCGGUAGCUUGCAUUCGUGUCCCUGUGUGCAUCACAAACGUGAGUUUGUGUCCAGUCCAACGUGAUCUCCAAAACCUGUUCGUAAACAUGUAUACGAGUAUCUUGAACAUACAAAUUCGUAAAAAUACAUAGGAACUGGCGGUGGUUAACCACGCCCCCUGAGUGAACAACAUGGCGGAGCAUGUCGGAUUCUCGAGUGAACGUCUCUCCGCCAUGUUGGAUUUUUUGAGGGGGUUAGGGUUAGUAUUCUAUUCUUACAAGUUAACACUGAUUUCUCGUUAAAAAUGCAAUCAUAACACGUUUAUUUUACAUGGUUAGACUUCACGAAGUGUGUUUACGGGGCGCAGGUUCACUUUGAACAGGGUGACGUCAUCAGUUGCAGUCCGUAUUUAUUUCCUAUGUAUCACUACGAAUUUGUAUGUUCAAGAUUUUCAUACACAUUUUUACGAACAGGUUCUGGAGAUCAGGCUGAUCCAGUCCCGAUGGUGUGUGUGUGUGUGUGUGUGUGUUGGGGCUAAAGGAGUGCUAACAUGAGCGCGUGUGACAGACCUCCCACGCACCCAGCUUGGAUCUGGCUUGUUCCGGUUUGGCGGUUUUGGCAUGGCGAUGGACGCAGGACAGGGCCGCCCUCGCUGAGAUGCUGUGCUAACUAACAGAUCAGAGAGCAGCCGCCUGCGUUUGUGUGUGUGUGUGUGUGUGUGUGUGUGAGAGAGGGAGGAUGUGUGUCUGACAGCGAGACUCAAGUCCACGUUGGCCCGUAAUCCUCCCAACACAUCAGCUGGUGCAGCAAAAAUCUUCCAAAAGCCUGAUCCGUAAUUGGGAAAGUAAACGACGUGUAGACACGUCGUAACAUCUCGCCCUCGAUGUCUUUGAGAAAAGUGGACGAUGGCAAAAAUCGAUUGGAGGAAAUCAGCGGCUGAAGCCUUGGAGAUGAUUGGAGAGAGCAGUAACCCGCCGCGUGGAUUUCCCCGGAGAGAGCUGUGUCACUUCCCCGCUGAGAGUGUCGCGUUACGGUGGCUGAUGGGGCGCAGCGCUGUCUUCUCGUGGAGGUCAUGGAGCUUCCUGUAAAGACUCAACGGCAACGGCAUCGGUACCGAUCGUUCCCCCAGGUGUCCUUCCACAAAGUCCAGGUCGUGUGGUCGGCUCUAAAAGCCAACAAAUGGAACAAGGGAGCUCCCUGCGGUUCCUUCCCUAAACGGUGGUGGAAGAGCUUUCUGGGAGGAAUGUGUUGACGGAUCGGCCCUUUGCCAACGCCGGGCGGGAGGCACUUCCGCCAAGGCGGCGCGUUCUGUGGCGAAAGCUGAAACGGAUCGGGGGUUUCCAUAAGGGGGUCGGGCUUUGAUGAAACCGUGCUAACCCCCUCCGUGCUAACUUCAUGCUAACACCUCUGGUGUGACGGAUACAAACAGAUGAGACCGAGGAGGAAACAAGCAGCACUUAUGCAGACCGCAGCUCAUUAAUAAAGGAUACGGAAAACCAGAUGUACGAGGUGUUCUGUGAUUUCACAACGUGAUGGUUGCGCGACCUUCGCAUAUUAUUUCCUAAUUUGGUAUCCGGCGUGGUGAGUUAUGCCGCGUGUGCGUGAGCGUGUUCGGUUGGCAUCUAGGUUAUUUCUUUAUGAUUGCGGCGUGUGCGCGCUAACACAUUUUAAGGGUGUUAUUGUUUAGAGGGAACCCUGCUUCCCGUGUUAUGGGAGCGAGAGAGAGAGACCGAGAGCGCCUCGGAACAUUAAUCUCACUUUGAAACAAAGCCGCGUGCAGCGAGAGCGGUGAUGUAACGCAUGCCGGGAUGUUGUGCGAGUGUAAAAAAAAAAAGCGACCUCCACCUCAGAGUGUGCCGGCCUCUGUUGGAGCACUUGACGCUAACUCGUUGGGAUGGAUGAAAACCACGGCAGCCGUGGGAGGAGGGAUUGUGGCAUUAAAGCUGCUAAUUUUACCCUCGUCCUGAGAGCCGCCGAGCUUCGUGUCUGUGCUUAUUUGAAGCGCACACUCAUGCGAAGAGGGCGCCGUCAUCCGGGGGCCCGGACAGGAAGACGGGAUGGGAUGCGUGCCGGGACAGAUGGUGCUUCUGCACAGAAAUAUCCCGGGUUCCGUAGACCGGGCCGUAGAUUUUGAUGCGAAUGGAAAAGUUACCUUGUCUCUGGUAGAUAAUAUCAUAAUAAUAGUGAAUAAAUAAUAUCACUAUUUUGGUUAAGUAGAACCGAGCUGAGCUGAGCUGAGUCUGGUUCUCUUAUCGGCCAUCAGAAGAAGCCAUCUUUGAUGUUUUAAUCAGAGGGCCUUCAACAAUUCUUCUUUUAGAGGCGAGUCACGUGAAAUCCCGAGGAAACGUCCUCG